This 1454-nucleotide long non-coding RNA is filed under the name Sinocyclocheilus grahami. RNAcentral's name for it is "lncRNA (ENSSGRG00000006334.1)". The record is from RNAcentral. Lineage: Eukaryota; Metazoa; Chordata; Actinopteri; Cypriniformes; Cyprinidae.
UUCCUGGCCUUAAUGUGAAUAAUAUCUUUAUUCUCACAUCUUUAAUUGUGGAGUUGCAUUUGUCUGCUCCCUGUGCUCCGGUCAUUAAUCUGAUACAUGAGCAGUGCACAAUACCCACACAGCUGAGGGAGCAGUCACUUUUAAGCCCACAAUUGAAUCACCGAUUAUCUGUAGAUUAUGUGUGAAAUGCGCCUCUAGAGCUGCUUUACAACAUAAGACUGAGAGAGGGUAUUUUAACCGAUGUACCAUGGACUUAUGACGGUCAUUUUUUUUUUGCAUUGUCUAAUGUGUUUUAAUAUGUUUGUGUGUGUGUGCAUAGUAAAAUUAAAGUAUGGGACCUACAAGCUGCUCUCGAUCCACGAGCCCCAGCCAGCACUCUGUGUCUACGUACACUAGUGGAACAUUCUGGUCGAGUGUUCCGGCUGCAGUUCGACGAGUUCCAGAUCAUCAGCAGUUCUCACGAUGACACUAUCCUUAUCUGGGACUUCCUCAACGUGUCGACCAACGGGCAGACGGAAGGACGAUCGCCGUCCCGCACGUAUACCUAUAUAUCCAGAUAGCAGGAAGCCCUGGUGGCGUGCGGAGUGUGUGCGAGUGUGUGUGGGGACUGUUCGGGUGACCCAGUCUCUGUUGAAGUGUGCCAGGAUCAAAGGUCGAGGAACGCCACCACCACCACCCCCCUCCCCUUCACCCUCCUCUCUCCAUCUGUCUGUUUUAUCUCUCCCCCUCUUGAGUUGUUUUGAGGGCUGCCCCACGACACAAACCGCGUCCGUUUUCUUUCUCCCUCUGUGUGGAGGAGGAGGUGGAGAAAAGAUGGAGAGAGCGAUGCCAUUAAGCAGAGAGCGUAAGGAUGGGCAUGGAGCCCCCCUCUCACCCCCGCCACCGCGUACAGAGUGACGGCUGCCCCGGCUCCGCCCCCUGGGCACAUGAACUCUGUAUCUAUCUUUUGUUUGUUUUAUUUUUAUUGAUCCAAAAAGUAAAAGAUGAAAAACUAAAGGGAGAAGGCAAGGUCUGCGUGCCUUCCUUCCCUCGGGACUGUUCUGCAUGAAUGAGCGAGCGAUUGGACGUGUAACGUGUGCUGGUCAACCCCUUGGUUUCUGUCUUACGUUUUUGUUUUUUUAUGCUUUUCAUUUUUUUUAAGUUGGGGAAUUGACUUCAUAUUUUCUUUUCUUGUGAAAUCGUAUGAAUAAUUGUAGUUCUCCUGAUAUGUACCUCCAUUUCUCAUUUUUAGCGCUGUCCGUCUCGUUCCCCUUUUCACUGUCUGCUCGUCUAGGUUCUGAAUGACCCAUAACUGAUCUGAAUUUAGUUGUAAACAGAAUUGUCUCGUCUAAAAUGGUGUUGUAUAUUGAAAAGAUUUUUUAAAGAAAAAAAGCGUUAUUAAUAAGAAUAAAAGUACUUGACUGUGAAGGAGUGUUAAGAAGCUUGCAUAAGCGCGUCGUUUUUCGUGUGUGUAC